AGACCCGACAUGUUACGCCGUUUGGUGGAUGGCUAGGCUCGGACGCUGAGGAAGGGCGCGGCAAGCAGCGAAACGCCCCGGGUAGGCGCAUGCAGUCGUAGAUCCGAGGAUUCCUCAAUGGGACCUCCUGUUGUGAACUUGUUCACAGCGCUCCCAUAAGGGAGCGGGAACCCCCUGAACUGAAACAUCUUAGUAGGGGGAGGAGGAGAAACCAACUCCGGGAUUCCCUGAGUAGCGGCGAGCGAAAAGGGAAGAGUCCAAACCGAACCUCAAGGGAGACCUGUGAGGGAUGUGGUGUAGUAGGACCCGGUCGCCUCCUAACUGGCGAAGCUAAAGUGGCCUGGAAAGGUCUGCCAUAGAGGGUGAUAGCCCCGUAGGCGUGAGCUGGAAGGAGUUGGAUCGGUGUUCCUGAGUACCGUACCUUGGUUUGGGUGCGGGAAUCUGGGAGUCAUCAACUUCUAAGACUAAAUACGUCCCGAGACCGAUAGCGCACUAGUACGGUGACGGAAAGCUGAAAAGCACCCCGGAAGGGGGGUGAGAAGAACCUGAAACUAAACGGUUAUAGAUGCGCGUGGCCUGGAAGGGUAGAUCCCUCCCGAAGGAAACCAUGGCGACGUGGGAGUACGAGGGAGCGGGGACCAGGGUUACGCGUUCCGUCUGGAAUCACGGGCUGGGGAGUUCACGGUUGUGGCGAGCUUAAGGAUUUUAAAUCCGUAGGCGUAGGGAAACCGACAAGCCCGCAACCGGCCUUUGGCUGGCGAGGGGCAAGAUCUGAAAGGGUCUGGAGUCACGGCUGUGAAACUAGAAACCGGGCGAUCUAGCCUUGAGCAGGGCGAAGUCAGGCGAAAGCCUGGUGGAGGCUCGAAGGGGUGUUGACGUGCAAUUCACUCCUCUGACUUGUGGCUAGGGGCGAAAGACCAAUCUAGCCCGGUGAUAGCUAGUUCCCUCCGAAGUGGGUCGCAGCCCAGUCCCAAGCGAGGUAGCUGGCAGGGUAGAGCACCGAUUGAGAAGCAAGAGUCCCGAAAGGGUUCACUUUUCUUUCAAACUCCGAAUCUGUCAGCGCCGUAGACCUUGGGAGACGGGCCUGGGGGGUAAGCUCCUGGGCCGAGAAGGGAACAACCUAGACCGAGGUUAAGGCCCCAAAGUGCUGGCUAAGUGCUAAACUGAAGGGCGUGUUCAUUCUUAGACAGCGGGGAGGUAGACAUAGAAGCUGCCAUCCUUUAAAGAGUGCGUAACAGCUCACCCGCCGAGGUUGAACGCCCCGAAAAUGGACGGGGCUAAGCCAGCCGCCGAUACCUCGGGGCACGGCUUAUGGCCGUGAUCUGGUAGGAGAGCGUCACGGUUGGACGGAAGCUGGGCCGUGAGGUCCAGUGGACCGACCGCGAUUGAAGAUCCCAGUGGUAGUAACAGCAAAGAGAAGUGAGAAUCUUCUCCGCCGGAAGGGCAAGGGUUCCCCGGCAAUGUUCGUCAGCCGGGGGUAAGUCGGUCCUAAGGCCGAUCCUAACAGAGUAGGCCGAAAGGGAAACCGGUUAAUAUUCCGGUACCAUAAAGGUACAUGCGGCGACGAAAGCCUGUCUUCAGACGCUUCGAGGUAGGUCGAGCAGGGCUGUCGCCUUGUUUAACCGUAUAAGCUUGGGGAGUGCCGUAAUGGCGAGAACCAAGUGAAGGCGGGAAUAGCUUACCGUUGUAGGUGAGUUCGUUCGAUCUUUGGAGCCAUUGAAAAUGGAGACUGGAAGGAUUCUUUAUGUCCGUACCCAGAACCGACACAGGUGUCCCUAGGUGAGAAGCCUAAGGCGUGUCGGGUACACUCUAGGUGAGGGAAAUCGGCAAAUUAGCCCCGUAACUUCGGAAGAAGGGGUGCCUGCAGCUUUGGCCUCUUGGCUGGAACCGCAGGUCGCAGUGACAAGGGGGUCCCGACUGUUUAAUAAAAACACAGGAAGACGCAAGCCCGAAAGGGUGUGAACGGCUUCUGAAUCCUGGCCAGUGGCAGGAUCUGAAACUCCGUUUCAACGGGGACAAGGACUGCUAAACGCCGGGAGUAACUCUAACUCUCUCAAGGUAGCCAAAUGCCUUGUCAGGUAAGUUCUGACGUGCAUGAAUGGAUUAACGAGGGCCCCACUGUCCCCAUCUGGAACCCGGUGAACCCACAUUACUUGGUGAAUAGUCCAAGGACCUCCAGCGGGAUGAGAAGACCCUGUGGACCUUUACUGCAGCCUGUCGCUGGGAUUUGGCUGUAGGUGCAGAGUGUAGGCGGGAGCCGUUAAUCCCGGUCUCUCCGGGGACUGGGGGAGGCGCCAAUGGAACACCGCCCUCUUACAGUUGAGUCUCUCACCGGCGCCGUUGGCGCUGGAACAACGAUUGGUGGGCAGUUUGGCUGGGGCGGCACCCCCUCGAAAAAAUAUCGAGGGGGCCCUAAGGUUGGCUCAGGCGGGACAGAAACCCGCCGCAGAAGGCAAGACCAAAAGCCGGCCUGACUGAAUCCUCCAAAGCAAGGGAUCCAGAGGCGAAAGCUGGGUCUAGCGAUCUUUCAUGUCCCCGUUGGUGGGGGCUGGAAGUGACAGAAAAGGUACCCCAGGGGUAACUGGCUCGUCGCGGGCGAGAGUUCACAUCGACCCCGCGGCUUGGUACAUCGUUGUCGGCUCUUCCCAUCCUGGUCCUGCAUAAGGGGCCAAGGGUAGGUCUGUUCGGCCGUUAAAGGGGAACGUGAGCUGGGUUUAGACCGUCGUGAGACAGGUCGGACUCUAUCUGCUGGGGGUGUCGGCUGCUUGGAGGGAAGGAAUCCCUAGUACGAGAGGAACGGGAUAUCGCAGCCACUGGUCUACCGGUUGUCCGACAGGGCAUCGCCGGGCAGCCACGCUGUCGGGGAUAAGAGCUGAAAGCAUCUAAGCUCGAAGCCCCUCCCGAAAAGAGGCAGCCACUUCGCAACGCGCGACUCUGGCAACGGAGCCGCUGUUGUGAACGAGGGUUGAGACCAGAAGAUCUCGUUGAUGGAGCGGGGGUGUACGCGUCGAGGCUUCGGCCGAGGCGUUCAGCCCGCCGCCCCCAAUCACCCAAGGUGUAGGGUCA
Molecule: ribosomal RNA, 3066 nt
Filed under: Candidatus Bathyarchaeota archaeon
Lineage: Archaea; Thermoproteati; Candidatus Bathyarchaeota
Description: 23S ribosomal RNA
Rfam family: Archaeal large subunit ribosomal RNA
Source: RNAcentral